UACGGAGGAUGCGAGCGUUAUCCGGAUUUAUUGGGUUUAAAGGGUGCGUAGGCGGGAUGCCAAGUCAGCGGUAAAAAUGCGGUGCUCAACGCCGUCGAGCCGUUGAAACUGGCGUUCUUGAGUGGGCGAGAAGUAUGCGGAAUGCGUGGUGUAGCGGUGAAAUGCAUAGAUAUCACGCAGAACUCCGAUUGCGAAGGCAGCGUACCGGCAUCCAACUGACGCUGAGGCACGAAAGCGUGGGGAGCAAACAGG
RNAcentral lists this ribosomal RNA (252 nucleotides) under uncultured bacterium. RNAcentral describes it as "partial 16S ribosomal RNA". It matches the Rfam family "Bacterial small subunit ribosomal RNA", at positions 524 to 776 of the family's 1533-position model. The record is from RNAcentral.